This 490-nucleotide ribosomal RNA is filed under the name uncultured bacterium. RNAcentral's name for it is "partial 16S ribosomal RNA". It matches the Rfam family "Bacterial small subunit ribosomal RNA", at positions 29 to 507 of the family's 1533-position model. The record is from RNAcentral.
AGUGAACGCUGGCGGUAGGCCUAACACAUGCAAGUCGAACGGCAGCACAGGAGAGCUUGCUCUCUAGGUGGCGAGUGGCGGACGGGUGAGGAAUACAUCGGAAUCUGCCCAGUCGUGGGGGAUAACGUAGGGAAACUUACGCUAAUACCGCAUACGACCUUCGGGUUAAAGAGGGGGAUCGCAAGACCUCUCGCGAUUGGAUGAGCCGAUGUCUGAUUAGCUAGUUAGCGGGGUAAUGGCCCACCAAGGCGACGAUCCGUAGCUGGUCUGAGAGGAUGAUCAGCCACACUGGAACUGAGACACGGUCCAGACUCCUACGGGAGGCAGCAGUGGGGAAUAUUGGACAAUGGGCGCAAGCCUGAUCCAGCCAUACCGCGUGGGUGAAGAAGGCCUUCGGGUUGUAAAGCCCUUUUGUUGGGAAAGAAAUCUUUCAGGCUAAUACACUGGGAGGAUGGCGGUACCAAAAGAAUAAGCACCGGCUAACUUCGUG